Molecule: ribosomal RNA, 447 nt
Filed under: uncultured bacterium
Lineage: Bacteria
Description: bacterial SSU rRNA
Rfam family: Bacterial small subunit ribosomal RNA
Source: RNAcentral
CACCCAGACUCCUACGGGAGGCAGCAGUGGGGAAUAUUGCACAAUGGGGGAAACCCUGAUGCAGCGACGCCGCGUGAGCGAUGAAGUAUUUCGGUAUGUAAAGCUCUAUCAGCAGGGAAGAAGAUGACGGUACCUGACUAAGAAGCCCCGGCUAACUACGUGCCAGCAGCCGCGGUAAUACGUAGGGGGCAAGCGUUAUCCGGAUUUACUGGGUGUAAAGGGAGCGUAGACGGCGAUGCAAGCCAGAUGUGAAAGCCCAGGGCUCAACCCCGGGACUGCAUUUGGAACUGUGUGGCUGGAGUGUCGGAGAGGCAGGCGGAAUUCCUAGUGUAGCGGUGAAAUGCGUAGAUAUUAGGAGGAACACCAGUGGCGAAGGCGGCCUGCUGGACGAUGACUGACGUUGAGGCUCGAAAGCGUGGGGAGCAAACAGGAUUAGAUACCCGAGUA